AAUCAACGCUGGCGGCGUGCCUCAGACAUGCAAGUCGAACGCGAAAGUCCCCUUCGGGGGACAAGUAGAGUGGCGCACGGGUGAGUAACACGUGGGUGACCUGCCCUCAGCUCUGGGAUAAGCCUGGGAAACUGGGUCUAAUACUGGAUAUGACUCCACGGUGCAUGUCGUGGGGUGGAAAGCCUUGUGCGGCUGAGGAUGGGCCCGCGGCCUAUCAGCUUGNGGUGGGUGAUGGCCUACCAAGGCGACGACGGGUAGCCGGCCUGAGAGGGCGACCGGCCACACUGGGACUGAGACACGGCCCAGACUCCUACGGGAGGCAGCAGUGGGGAAUCUUGCGCAAUGGGCGAAAGCCUGACGCAGCGACGCCGCGUGA
RNAcentral lists this ribosomal RNA (376 nucleotides) under uncultured bacterium. RNAcentral's name for it is "bacterial SSU rRNA". It matches the Rfam family "Bacterial small subunit ribosomal RNA", at positions 28 to 404 of the family's 1533-position model. The record is from RNAcentral.